Molecule: unclassified non-coding RNA, 344 nt
Filed under: Hevea brasiliensis (rubber tree)
Lineage: Eukaryota; Viridiplantae; Streptophyta; Magnoliopsida; Malpighiales; Euphorbiaceae
Source: RNAcentral
CAGGGACAAGUUUCUCAGAUGCCAGCAGAGCUUCAGCAUCAAUUCUAACAGGCGCUUCACUUCCAUCAAGCACAACAUCCUCUUUAUUGACGUCAAUACCAUGAAACACAAUCUCAAAGUCUACAAUAGUGGUUUCAUGACUUCCUAUGCCACUUGACCAAAACUGAGCAACAGCUAAUUCCAUUGUCUGACCACCCACCACAGGAAAUGCAAAGCUUUUGGCACAGGGGGAAGAAAAUGUUACAACGCUCUCCCACUUGAUAGGUCUUUGAAGGGGGCAAAUCUGAACUGUGUCAACAAAAAAUCGUCGGGCUGUAUCAAAUCGUGAUGUUCGCAUGGUUGCC